Long non-coding RNA from Bactrocera neohumeralis, 2108 nucleotides. RefSeq lists it as uncharacterized. The record is from RefSeq and is a predicted model, not a curated record. The transcript is spliced from 3 exons. NCBI's taxonomy places the organism in Eukaryota, Metazoa, Arthropoda, Insecta, Diptera, Tephritidae.
CGCGUUCUGCUAGCUGCAUGAUUUGCGGCUCGCUUUAGGUUAGUACGUGGCACGCAGUAGUGCGAGCAGGAAUUGUAGGGCUUACUACGGUCUGAUCGGUUUGUGACACCGACGCGUGUAUGCGAUCAACUUUUUACAUGUAUCGUUGAACAAAGCAUUGGAAUCUUAAAAAGACGGUGGAGAAUUUUAGGAUACGGCAAGAGAGAAAGGUAUCACCACGGUAGAGGAGGAGUAAGGUCACUAUCAGCUGAUGUUAUGUAAACAAAGGCACAGCUGAGAGGUGCCACUGUAGAAACACAAGUGUAGUCCGGGGUUGAGUUUCUAUUGGAAUCCAAGAUGGCCGACUUUUAACCAAGAUGGCUGACUUUUAACCGGAAAAUGGUUGCAUUGCGUUAUUUUCUUAAAAUUUAUGGAAAAGUUGUCCCAAAAAUAUUGGUUAUAUAUAAAAGUUUAAUAUAUUUUCUAAAGAAAAUCGUUUUAUUUUAAUAUAUAUUCUUAAAGAUGAGAACAAUAUGAGCAAAUACGUGAAAAAUUAAGUUUUUUAUUUAUGCCUCUUUUUAACUUACCACAGUAAUAAAUGUUCACCACAGAAAAAUGUUACGAACAAAUAAGCAACCAUGCCGAAUAGUGGGGUCCAGAUUAUGCUCAUUCACAGCCAUAUUUACAUUUUUGCAUCGUAACGAAGGUUUUUGCAAGACAAUUUGUUUGAGUUUAUUUCAUGGUUAAAUGAUUUACGAUGGUUUAUUUAGUUAUUUGAAUCUGGAAGAAGUGUGCAAAUUUCCCUUGAGACAAUCAAUAACAGAUCGAGUUGGGAUUUUAUUCCAAUAAAAAUACGGAAUAACUAAACAUGGCCUCGUUAAUAUUGCUGCGUAAUGGGUCAGGCGCUGUUCCAAUUUUAUGAUUUAAUAGAUUAAAAAGCGAUACGCGAUGCUGUGAAGUACUCAAAUGUAGUUCUCAAAUUUGUUGGUCGUGAAUUCGAGACAAAAUUUUAAGCUCAAUGACGUGCUCGUGGAAGGUGCACGUCGCAUUGCUAGAAUCAGCAAAGGAGCUGGUGUAGAACGCUAGUCCCAAGCCAAUGAGCUUUGUGCUUGGUGGAAGCAACUUUUUGAGGAGCAAAUACUACGGUGAGCACAUUCGGAUGUUGCACAAGCUAUUGUCAAUUGCGCUAAGGAUCCCGAUACUGCUGGUCAGGUUUAUCAAGCUGUUGGGUAGGUUUUGAGCAAUAUUGAAUUUACAUAAUGCUAAACACUCAACACCCACCUUCCACAUCAAAGCGUUACCAGUUGAACGAAUUAAUUGAAACCAGUCAAUCGUGUUAUGCGCAAAAAUUAAAAAAGCGUUGUAUCCUACCUUCCUAUUGAAAGCCAAGUCGUUUGGAUGUACAAUUGACCUCCAUGGAAGAGCAAAUACCAUGGAAAUUGCGACCUUAUCGGGCUGCGCAAUAUUAUGAUGCCGAAUUGGGAUAGUGGAAGGAACCAGCUCCACCAAAAUCGAUAGAAGAACUACGUAUGUUUGCAUAAAACUACUAUAAUGGCAACAACGCUAACAACAACAACCAAGCAAAUAUUAAACAACACUCAUCAAAUGAAAGUUGGUGGCGUUGGUGGCCACACAGCGAUUUAAAAAGAAAUAUUUGCAUCUAUGCGAAUUCGUCUUUGCAUCUAGUGAAUUAUGAAUAUGAAAGUAUAUAACUUAUCGCAGUUAUUUGUUUUUAUUAUUGCAUUUAGUUUUACUUUGUGAACAGCAAAACUAGCGGACCCUUUUUCUACCGAUUUUAUAAUUAUAACCCCAAAUAAAAAGUAAAUUGUAACUAAAUGUUUUAUUUCAGUAGAUUUUAUUUAUUGUUUCUUUUUUUACAUAUUUUUGUGCCUAUGUUGCAUUUUCCACACCACCAUGAGGUAUGCAACUAGGCGCGUUACCGAUUUUUUUUGGGUGUUCGGUUCCCCCGGAGGCCUAUUGGCACCCAUAUACCUUAAAACUAAACAACAAAUAUUUACAAAAAACAAUUCAUUUGGAAAAUAAAUAAAAAGUAAAAAACAAUUCAAAAACAAUGCAUAAUAAAAUAUAUAAAAAUACAUAUAUAAUAAUAUUUAAUAAUAUGUACAUAU